Long non-coding RNA from Pieris napi, 558 nucleotides. RefSeq lists it as uncharacterized. The transcript is spliced from 3 exons. The record is from RefSeq and is a predicted model, not a curated record. Lineage: Eukaryota; Metazoa; Arthropoda; Insecta; Lepidoptera; Pieridae.
GUUUUCAGAUGGUGUCAUACUUGAUCAUCAGAGAAAUAAUCUAGUUAGCGAAGAGUAUUGUGACUGUGCUUUAAAAUUUUGUAAAAAAUAUUUCAAGCCAGUGUUCUACAUCAAGCCAAAUAUUAUAGAAGAUUAUUACAAUUUGGUCGACAGAGAUAUAAGGAUAAUUAGUACUAUUCAUGAUGUAGUCAGGAACCAGGUUGAUGGUAUUGUUGUAACGGACAAUGAAAACGUUCAAUUACCGCCUCGUGAUAUUAUUAGAUCUAUCGUCAGAGCUAUUAGUUUUGCUGAAAAGAAUAUCAAUUAUGAAGAUGAUUAUUUAAAACUGUCAUUUAUGACAAAGAUACCAGCACUGCCAUCCAUAACCAUAGCGUUAGCUGCAUGCCUUGCCGCUCUCAAGUGCGAAGCAAAAGCGAUAAUCGUCCUUACAAAAUCAGGGAUAUCGGCUAGAUGGUGCGCGUACUCAUCGCCUCCCUGCCCAAUUAUAGCUAUAACAACAGAAGAAUCUACAACGAGACGCCUACAUUUGUAUCGGAAAGUUAUACCAUUGUUUUAUAA